This 255-nucleotide ribosomal RNA is filed under the name uncultured prokaryote. Its description in RNAcentral is "partial 16S ribosomal RNA". It matches the Rfam family "Bacterial small subunit ribosomal RNA", at positions 522 to 776 of the family's 1533-position model. The record is from RNAcentral.
AAUACGGAGGGUGCAAGCGUUAUCCGGAUUCACUGGGUUUAAAGGGUGCGUAGGCGGGCAGAUAAGUCAGUGGUGAAAUCUCUGGGCUUAACUCAGAAACUGCCGUUGAUACUAUUUGUCUUGAAUAUCAUGGAGGUAAGCGGAAUAUGUCGUGUAGCGGUGAAAUGCUUAGAUAUGACAUAGAACACCGAUAGCGAAGGCAGCUUACUACAUGUUCAUUGACGCUGAGGCACGAAAGCGUGGGGAGCAAACAGG